This 1029-nucleotide long non-coding RNA is filed under the name Oryctolagus cuniculus (rabbit). Its description in RNAcentral is "lncRNA (ENSOCUG00000037800.1)". The record is from RNAcentral. Lineage: Eukaryota; Metazoa; Chordata; Mammalia; Lagomorpha; Leporidae.
AUGAAGUCGGAGCACAGGUGGCAGAAGGUGGGCUUGGUGAGCGUCACCUUCCGGAAGCCGUGGCCCGGCGCGGCGGGGCCCGGGGGUCCGGCGCCCGCGCGCCCCGACUGCGCGCACGCGCCCCCUCCGCCGCCCGGCUGGGAGCCGCAGGUCGGGUCCCCGGGGCGUGGUGGGCCGCCGGCCGGCCAGGCGCGGGCCCCGGGCUCGGCCGCCGCCGCCAUCGCGGCCGCACGGCCAGAGCGCUCGAGCCCGGAGGGCAGGACCGGGUCCGUGCUGGGGGCCGCCGCCGCCGCCGAUGCGGCGCUUCCGACCCCGUCGCCGAUUGCGCAGGCGCGGGGCGGGGCCGGGGCGCCGGGGGCGGGGCCUGUGGCACUGGGGCGGGGCGGUCGCGUGGCCCCGCCCCACGGCUGUGUCUGCGGACCCCGGCCGGCGCGGAUGGGGCAGUGGGUGCCGUCCGGAGGAGACGUCCGGGGGAGACGUCCGGGGGAGACGUCCGGGGGCCGCGAGUACGCGGGUGUCCGCGCCCGGGCCCCUCCCGCCGGCGGCCGCGGAAGUCCGGGCCGCGCCCUAGGAGUCUGCGGCCGGCGGAUCCGCGGGGCUGGUGCCUGGGCGCGGGGAGGGCUUGGACCCCGGGUUCUCGGGAGCCCGCGUUCUCCCCUCUCCUGCACCUUCGCUCGGGAGGCCCGGGGUCCGCCAGCGCCCGCUGCGGCCCGGCCGCGCCUAAGGAGAGCCGAGCGCCGCACACGUCCUGCGCGGGAAUCCGCGUGCGCCCUGACGGCCGGACCAGGCUUCCGUCCCGCGCUGCGCCCGCCUCCGAAGGCCCCGCAGCGCCUGCCCUCGGCCGCAGACGCCAGUGGCUCCCGGUUCUGGAUCCGGCCGCCGCCCGCGCAGGCCCGGUGCAGGUGUCACCGCAUUGUUGGGGGUGGGCUUGUGUCCCCCAGAACUGCUCCCUCGGUGACCCCGCUGCUUCCCAGGGCGCCAGCCGCUCCCUGCCUGCGGGAGACAUGUGUGCCUUUUACAUUUUCCUGA